AAUAUUGGACAAUGGGCGAAAGCCUGACCCAGCCAUGCCGCGUGUGUGAAGAAGGUCUUCGGAUUGUAAAGCACUUUAAGUUGGGAGGAAGGGCAACAAGUUAAUAUCCUGCUGUUUUGACGUUACCGACAGAAUAAGCACCGGUUAACUUCGUGCCACCAGCCGCGGUAAUACGAAGGGUGCAAGCGUUAAUCGGAAUUAUCGGGCGUAAAGGGCGCGUAGGUGGUUUGUUAAUGUGGAAGGGAAAGCCCCGGGCUCGACCUGGGAACUGCUUUCAAAACUGGCAAGCUAGAGUAUAGCAGAGGGUGGUGGAAUUUCCUGUGUAGCGGUGAAAUGCGUAGAUAUAGGAAGGAACACCAGUGGCGAAGGCGACCACCUGGGCUAAUACUGACACUGAGGUGCGAAAGCGUGGGGAGCAAACA
RNAcentral lists this ribosomal RNA (422 nucleotides) under uncultured bacterium. Its description in RNAcentral is "partial 16S ribosomal RNA". It matches the Rfam family "Bacterial small subunit ribosomal RNA", at positions 360 to 774 of the family's 1533-position model. The record is from RNAcentral.